Molecule: long non-coding RNA, 7875 nt
Organism: Chelonia mydas (Green sea turtle)
Lineage: Eukaryota; Metazoa; Chordata; Testudines; Cheloniidae
Exons: 2
Source: RefSeq, a predicted model, not a curated record
AUCUCCUUCCUUAGAGAUUUUUACAGUCAGGCUUGACAAAGCCCUAGCUGGGAUGAUUUAGUUGAGGAUUGGUCCUGCUUUGAGCAGGGGGUUGGACUAAUGACCUCCUGAGGUUUCUUCCAACUCUGAUAAUCUAUGAUACACCUGUGUUUCUCAAUCUUUUUGAUACCCAGGACCGACUUGCUGCCUUCCUAAACUGUCAGGGAGAUCUCAGGGACUGGCGCUGGUCCAGGCCUGGUCAUUGAGAAACACUGCUCUACACAACUACAAUGGACAGGAAUGUCUUUUAUUAUUAGGAAAGCCUGGUAGUUGGAUCUCUAUAGAAAGGCUUUUAAUUCUCAGAAUUUGGGUAUUGUCUGUGCUGACAGUCGUACUGUUGCAGCUCGUAUCUCUUACAUGCCAAAACAUCAGAAUCUAGGGCCUAGGCCCACUAGCUAUUGCAUUGUCCCCUACAACGAGGAUACUGGAGGAGUGUGCCUUUCUGACAGCCGAAGCUGCAAGCAAAUCCUGUUGCUGGAGGGUGAUCCAGGCUCUCGGGAGAUCCUUAGUGUGCUGUGUGUGCUCCCUCCCCUUUCUAUUAGCCAAUUGGCUGCUGCCUUGCAUAGUAGGUAGGUUUGGCAAAAUGCACCUGUAGAGCUGCCCCGUAGAUCAAAUCAUUCCAUUGGGACUUAACUACUAUAGGAUGCUACCACAUCUAGCCUUGAUUCCCAGAAGGAAUGCAGUUAAUCAACAGGGUGCUCUAAGGGCUGCUCUGUACCUGAGUGGGGAUGUGCAGAGUAGCUGGAAGUGCUGCUGUCCUGCAGAUAUAGGAGUAAAGAGGAACUCGUGGCCGGGGAAGGAGGUCGCUCAGGAUUUGUCUUUAUUGGUGCAUUGAGUUCUUAAUGUAACGCACCAUCUUGAAAGCCUUCAGGUUCAGCGUUCCUCCCUGGAUCCCCUUCUGGCCCACUAGGAUGAGGCACACUGGGUUGGCCAGGGCAACAGUAAUGGCAUAGGUGCAGGUGUCACUGUUCUCCUCUUGCCGUUUGGUCCGGAGGUCCAUGGUGUAAUUGUGGGUGUCUGUGUAGAGAUUGUCCCGGAUCACCAGACACCUGAGCCCACCCAGCGUGGUUCCCUUGGUGAGAAGUGUGUCUCUAUUCCUACCCAGGAGCACUUGGAUCUCCAGCUGAGUCAUGUUUGCCAGAAUCCCACCUGGGUGGGCAGCCAGGAGCUGCUGGUGAGCCACGGAGAUCACUGCUGCAUCGCAGCACAGCCCAUCUCUCAUCAAGCUGCUGAUGUACUCCUGCCAGCCCGACAUCCUGUGAUCUGUGGAGCAAUGUGUGCAGCUAUGCCCACCUUGCUGACACGGAAAGGUGGAGAGGAAGGUUCCUCUUAACGUCUCUGAUGGUAAGGAGGUCCCUUGUUCUAACCUCCAGCUUGGUCUCAGAAGGGCAAGGCACACAUUCAGUCCAUACAGUCUCUUUCCAUGAAUGAAUGGCUUAUUUAAGGCCAAGAGGAGGGGGAGGCUCUUACUACUGUGACAACAUGCGCUUCCUCCCAAGCACAGUGUAAAUCCCUGGUGCUCACCAAACAAGGAUGUCUUCAAAGCUAGAUUUCCAGAUGCUAAGAUCCUGCACUGUUUUUUCUCAUCUGCACUGAGCAACCUCCACCAACACCCCAAGCAGCUGGACCCUGGGUGUGAAGGCUUAGCUGCCCUCCAUGGCUUCUGAUCUCAACCCGGGAAACAAGCCAGUGCUAUGACGACAAUGAGAUCAUUUCUCCCUGUGAUGUCACAGUGCAUCCUAACUGAUGUCUGUCUAGUAAGUUGAUUCAUCCUUUGCUGUGUAUUCAGGAUUCUCCUUAACAUUCAUUUUCCUUUCUGCCCUACUUGAGAGAACAUGUACUGGUGUAGUUGUCAGGUCCUAAUCCACCAGUGCACUCUUGCUAUGACCUGCUCUAGCUCCUGUGUGGGAAACUCCUCCAUAGCCAGUGCUUCUAUAGCAGCUUUUACAUUCUGGACUUACUCUGUAAGGAAGCACCACCCCAGAGAUCACCAACCCUUCCACCCCAUGGAAAAAUGUCCUACUGCAACUAGCAUGCAGGGCUUCCUGGAUCGCCGCUGACCUACACCCUCAUCAGUUUGCUACUGUUCUGUCCCACCUGUGUCAGUUUCAUCUGUUCAGAGAUGCUGGUCUAGGGUGGCAACCCUAUUGCCUCACAUCCAGUGCUCCUUUGGCUGCCGGGUUUUGGAGCAGUGCAGCAGCCAGGGGAAGGGGAGGGCAUGGGACUGUUUUCUGCAAGAAGAGAAGGAGCAAUACUCAAGAAUUUACAAAUGAAAAUAGAGGCUGAAGGGGGCUGUGAGCAAAUGCCUGAUUUAUUACAUAGACAAGCUGGGUGAGAUAAUAUAUUUUAUUGGACCAACUUCUGUUGGUGAGAGAGACAAGCUUUUGAGCUGCAUCAAGCUUGUUUUAAUCUAUUACACGUCUGCAGUUCUUACAAGCUGGUUUCCCUGGGUGUUAGCAGCAAUCUACAUGGCAAAGGUGGAGUGAAAUAGCUAAACUAACUGAGAAGACAGCAGGGACUGGGCUCUUCAGACAGCAGCUGAAGCAUUCAGUCUGUCUCUGAUUUGUAGCUAACGGUGAAUGUGCCCUCUAGUGUUAGAAGCUGGAGUGACUUUCUUGAGCAAUCGCACCAGGGAAGGGAGGUAGCAGGAAGCAACCCUGAGCCUAUCACUCUCCCCAGAGGCUAAGGAAGCUUCUUCUCUCUCCAGAGGGCUGGGUUGCAAGUAGGGGAACGGCAAGGAAGAGUUUGACAUUGCCCUUUCUUCCCUGCCUUCUGCAGGUCUGUACCCUGCUGGCAGUGAUUUAUUAGCAAUGGGGAAAUGUUGACCCCAGCUGAAGAAGCAUGCUGCAAAAAGGUCCUGGCCCCUUGCACAAGCAGCAUGCAUGCUACUGUGACCCCUGGCUGGCCAUAACUGGUGGCCAGCUCUAGAGAGGGUGUGAAAUAUUUCCAUGCCCAUGGAGGGGAAUCUUUCUCUCUCCUACCCCUGGCUUUCUUCCUGGCAGCACAGAACUGAGGGUAGAAACAACCUAUUGCUGAAGGACGAAUGCCCUGUCCUAGGAGCUUUAGCCAAGUGCCUCCAAGCACAGGACUGGAUCUCCAAUGGAAGUGCUGCAGCUGGGGCUAGAGGAUAGCUAAGGACUGAAUGAGCAUAGAGGACAAGUCCUAUCCUCCCCCACUCAGCCAGAGGAGUACACCCAUAGAGGCAGUCCCUUUAAUGGCAGGAUAGGGAUGCACCAGCUCCCACUAAGUGUAGAUGAGGUCUCAACACUGCAGUCAUCUGUUUCGGCCAACUGGAACUUGAUGUAGCUUCCAGUAUGACAGCUAUCACCUGAUCUGCCAUGCAGCCCACAGCAGUAAGGGUGCUUAGCCAGCCAGCUAAGGUGUAGUUAGCUCUUCCGUAUCUACCCUCUGCUUCCACUCUACAUUUUGCUGCCCCAGUAUGCUAGUACAAAUGGUUGCUGCUCUUGUUUUCUUUCCCUGGGAAUUAUUUUCUCUAGCUUAGUGCAAGCCAGGACAGCGCCUUCCUUGCCAGCUUCACCUUGCUGUAGUGUCUGCUCCACGAGGAUCUCCAAGCACCUCACAAACAUUACUGGUGGGGAAACGGAGGCAGAGUGCGGUGAAGCAUCUUGCCCACGGUCAGAGAGAAGCCAUGUGGCAGAUAGGGAGCGAGUACCUAGAUCUCCUUGGUCGCUGUGUUUAUCCUUUAACCAACUGGGCCACUCUCUUUCUCCUAGCUGUCCUAGCUGUCUUGUUCAUAAAAUACAUCCACUAUGGGUACUAAGCUGGUGCAGAUUGUGCAUUACUACUAGUGCUCUGUUCCCAGUGCACCAGGAGGUGUACACCACUCACCUGCUGCACCCCCUCUUCUGAAGCAAUUAAACUUCCUUCUCAUAUAACUGGGCCCAAUCCAAGAAGAAGAAAUAAAUUUCCUCCUUUCAUUUACUCAUUUUGCUUUGUUUUUGUUAGCUUAGAUGUGAUUCCUCCCCUCUCCCUUAUUCAUUCCUCCCCACCCAUCCAUUACUGCUCAGCCAGAACUGAGCCAAGGGCUUGUAGGCUGCUGUGUUCCUCCAGGCCACCUUCCUGCUUCCAGUCUGCCAGGAACGCUGGGAACAGAGCAUCCCAGACCACCUCUGCAAGUGACAUUCUCCAGCCUUCUGGCACAGGCAAACUGGACUGGCCAGCGCGUCAAUCCAGCGCUGUCUCCUUCAGCAUCGGGGUAGUUACCAUUACCCCAUUAGCCAUCUUCAUCUUCCCCAGGGCAAACAUCGGUCCAGCUGCGUGAGUGGUUGCAGCCUCUCCUCCACUGCCCGGAGGCAAAAUCAGAGCCUACUCUUUGGGUUGGCCUGGUCCUAAGCUUCAAGCUGCUUUUUAUGCCUAUUUCCAUUCUGCAUCCUUCCACCCUACUGAACCUGCCCAUAGUGGGUCCCAUUUCCUCAGCCUCUUGGUGUAUCUGCAGUGACCCUCAGUCUUUGCUCAUUCUCUAGCUAUAGAGGGUGGGGGUUAGGAGGAAACCUGGCCCACGGGGAAGUUAUCCCAUAAAUGCCUUCUGCAGAGUAUCUUGCACUUUCCUUUGUAGCAGCUGCUGUCAGAGGCAGGACUAGUUGGCUGCUGGGAUUUGAUCCAAUAGGGUAUUUAUUCUGUUCACCCCACUGCAGCCUCUACAGACCUUGCAGCCUCACUACCUGGGCAAAGGGGUUUGCCUAGGUCUCUGACACAUAACAGGAGGCAGCGACAUGUCUCCUGAGGGCUGGAAGCAAUGUGUUCUGUGCCAAAGCACUGAAUGAGAUGGGAGAGAGUAUUGGCUCUGGAAGAAACCUCAGCCAUAUCCCAUAAGGGGGGAAAGAGGUGUGGCUUGCCAGAGUAACUAUGAAGAGACCACCCCAUGCUAUGAUGCAGGAGAGAGGGGGUCCUGCUGCAGGAGGGGGAAGUGAAGGCAGUAGGUCAAGCCCCACCUGUCCGCAAUGGAGUCCCCACUAUCCUACAGCAUCUGGGUGAUUUGCUUUAUCUGCUGCUUGUGGAAGUAGUCACGGGCAUGUGAUAGAUAGCAGCAUCCCUGCACCGCUCCCACAGGUCACUGCUCGAGUAGCUGGCUGUUUUCUCCAUCAGCUCCUUCAGGUUCAUAGCACUGCUGGAGGCACGGCUGGUGCCUGUGCCAACAUGCCAACCUGACCAUUCUCACCCCCAGGCUUGGGUCCUGACGCCAGCCUCAUCCAGAUGGGGAGAGAGGUGGUACUUUGAACUGGGCACUGUGAGUGGCUGACCCUUCCCUAUGCCGUUGGGCCCCUCUUGCUAAUACGGCCAUGACUCUCAGCUUUGCUAAUCCUGCUGUAGGGGGGUUAUCUUCACCCUGGCUUCUUCCACUGCUUUACUACUCAUAGACUGCGGGAAAUUUGCAGCUUCCUCUGAGCAGUAACUCACUCAGCCUGGCAAACAUAAGUCCACCAUUAACCCUUUGGAGGCUGAUGCUUUCCCAGAUGUUUACAUCCUUGAGGACUGUGCAGUUGCUCAGGGUUUGGCUGGGGAAUAAGAUCAGGGCAAGGCCCUGGCAUGGAGAAAAUCCUGGUCCCGCCACACCCCAGCUGGUAAACCCCUACCCUAUGUGCACCCAUCCUGUUGCUGGGGCCUGACUCCUUUAUCAAAGUGCAUCACAUUGGGCAGGGGUGGGGAGAAAGUGGCCCACAGGUGAGCAGCAGUGGAGGGAAUGUGGGUCAGCAGGCUGAGGUGGGUAUUUUCCUGAAGGGAGCAGAACCCCAAUGACCAACCUGCUGCUGUUUCUGCUGGGAUGAAGGGUUGGCAGCCAUCUGCGUACGUGGCCACUCUUGCUCAUCCCAGUGUAGCUGGGGCUUUACAGGAGCUGGUGUGGGAACACAAUGUAGGCUAUCCAUUGCAUGAUGCAUGGGGUAUGCUCAUCUCCCCUGCCUCCCGCCUCUCUGAUUGGGGAGAACUUUGCAUUGUCAAUGCAAGCUGUUUCCUUCUUCCCACCUGCCACCCGUGGGCUGGUCACUCUUGGAUCAUGGGCAUCUUGCCUUUUGGGAGGCCGUGCCCCUUGCCAGGCCACAGGUCUGUGCUGAACAGAGCAGAGAACGGCCUCCUGAGCACAAUGCAGAAGGAGCAAAGUGCAGAGACGCAUAUUUAUUAUGGUCAGAAUGAGCUUCAGAAUAUCCUGCUGCUGCCUCAGCAUCUGCAGGGAGAGAGGAGGACAGAGCGUGAGUGUUGGGGUGCUGGGGGUGGGAAGAUGUUUUCUUAUAGGUAGACCGAUCUGGAAGGUGGCAGGCGUCCUCCUCAGGAUGGCAGGGUCCACACUCACUCCAAGCACCAUCACCUUCGAUGCAAUCAGACACACAGAUUACGUGUUACCAGUUGCAGCCUCUGAAUCAUGGAUCUGGUGGGAAGUGCUGGGAUUUGAUCUGCUGCAGCUCCCCCUAGAGGUGACAAACUGGAACAACAAAGCACCAAGCCAGCUGCUCCCUGUUUACCUAUUUUAUCAAUGAGGAUGAUGCAGAGCUGGAUCUUGGUGACCAGUAAGAAAACAGCUGCUUUGAGCUUCUGUGAUUCCCUGUACCACUUGUCAGCCAGGGACGACGCCUGCAGGUGUAUAAACUGGCACCCUGAGGCCUGCGCGAUUGCCUUGGCAAAACGGGUCUUCCCACAGCCAGGGGAGCCAUACAGAAGACCCUGCAGGGGGAGAUACAUCAGCACCGCCUCACAAGCUGCCCUUUUCCAUCCCUGAGAGCCCACUCAUACCAGGCUAAAAUCCCAAAGAAGUGCUCAGCUAACUGGGCCCCAUGUGACCAUGCUGGAACCAGUAGGGGAAGGGAGCUACACAGCCUCUGAAGCAAACAGAUUCCUAGCUAGAUGCUCUCCUUGUUUGCAUUGGAUGGGCAGGCCCCUCUCCCAAUGAAAAGUGCUCUGCUGCUAUUGGAGAUGUCCCAGCCUAGUGGGGAUCCUUGGGGACUGUUAUCAGCCCGAGUGAACAUCAGGCCUUGGGGGUGAAUGAAUGUCCCAUUCAGCCUUGCCUCCUUUGGCAGGAAAGGGUGGCUCUGUGCAGAGAACUGCUAGAUCUUCAUUGAUUAAAACCCCAGGAAGGGAAAGGGAGGGUCCAUUCCUAACCCUGCCUCAGAGCUCAGGCUCCUAUUAGUUCAGCCUCAGUUUGAGAGUGGGGAGAACAAGGCACUUUUCUAUCCUCUCCCUACCCCACCUAUCACCGAAUCAAUUAAUUUACAUUUCCCCAUCGACAGCUACAACUUUGAUUGAUCAUUUACCUUUUUUUAAAAAAAAUAGUUCUUUCCAAACAGAUGAUUAUAGUUGAGCAUGAAUAGCUGGUAAUUGGGAUUAAAUAGUGUGUGGGUAAUUCAUUAUUGAUUAUAUGUGGGGGCAUUAUGGAAGACUUCCCCUCUCUAUCUAUUCCAUCUCUCUCAGCAUGCUGCCACCUCCUUAUUCUGGGUCCAGCAAGGAAAGCUUCCCCAUCUUUCCUAUUGCUAUUUAGAAACCCACCUAUCAUUGUGACCUUUUAGUCCCAAAUAAACAAAAGGCCUAGGAAGCUUUCUACAGCCCAGUCCAUAAAAGCGAAGGGUGCAGGGGGAUUUAGGUUUGCUCCAGAUAGAUCCUGCCUCCCCACAAAAAGAUCUGAAGUGUGAGUAGGUCAAUUUACCCUCACUAAGAACUGCAUGUAGCAUAUUCUAUUUCUUAAGGGGGAAUAAAGGACAGAAUUUCCAUUUAACUCAAGUAUGGUUUAAAAUUAAAGGUACUGGAUUGUGACAUUUUGUUUCCUGUAGAUAUAAUUGUGAAACUGUAAGCUCUUUCUUUUUCUGUACAAUAAAACACGGGUUGAAAGUC